AAUUUAAUUUUAUUUAUUUUUUUAUUUUAUUUUUAUCUUAAAUAUAUUUAAAUUUUAGUUUUAAUAAAAAAUUUUUUUUUAUAUCUGUAAAGAAGAUAAUUGAAAAUUUUAUUAUAUUUGAAUAGUACCUUUUGUAUCAGGGUUGAUUUAUUAUUUAAUUUAUUUUAAAUUCCCGAAUAUAAGAUAUUUAUUAAUUUAUUUUUUUUAUUGUUUCAUAAAUAUUAUUAAUAUUUUAAUUGUAAUUAGAAGUUAUACGUUCUUUUUUAUAUCUGGUUAUUUUUGAUUAAAUUAAAUUUUAGAUUUUUGUUUGAGAAAUUAUUUUUUUUUUAUGGUCUUAUUUAAUCAGGGAUUAGCUUGAUUUUUAAUUAUAAUUUAUUUGUUUUUUAUAUUUACAAGAUUUAAUAAUUUUCUUUAAGUUUUUAAUAAUUUAAUAUAUUUUUUUAUUGAUUUUUUAUUUAUUUAAUUUGUUAAAAAAUUUAUUUAAUAAAUAUUUAUUUAUUUAAGAUAAUGAUUAAAUUAGUAUAAUUUUUAUUUUAAAAUUAAUGAAUUCGACAAAUUUUUAACUUCCAACUGUUUAUCAAAAACAUUUCUUUUAGUUUUUAUAUUGAAGGUACCUCCUGCCCUAUGAGUUAGUGUUAAAUGGCUGCAGUAUAUUGACUGUGCAAAGGUAGCAUAAUAAAUAGCUUCUUAAUUAGUGGCUGGUAUGAAUGGAUGUAUGAGAGGUUUAUUUUAUUAUUUUAAGUAUUAAAAUUUUAUUUUUGAGUGAAAAAUCUUAUUUAAUUAUUUGGGACGAAAAGACCCUAUAGAUUUUUAUUAUUUUUAUAUUAAUGAUUUUUUAGAAUUAAAUUAUGUUAUUUAUUGGAAAAAUUAUUUUAUUGGGGUGAUAAAUAAAUUUAAUAAACUUUAUUUUUUUUAUUCAUUUAUUUUUGUUAGUUUUGAUCCAUUUUUAUUGAUUAUAAGAUAAAGUUACCUUAGGGAUAACAGCGUUAUUUUAUUGGGGAGUUCAUAUCUAUAAUGAAGUUUGCGACCUCGAUGUUGAAUUAAGAUUAUCAUAAGGGGUAGGUUCUUUAUAUUUAAGUCUGUUCGACUUUUAAAAUCUUACAUGAUUUGAGUUCAGACCGGUGUAAGCCAGGUUGGUUUCUAUCUUAAUAUAUUCAAUAUUUAUUUAGUACGAAAGGACCAUUAAAUUCAAAUUUUUUUGUAUUAUUUUUGAUUACUA
This 1219-nucleotide ribosomal RNA is filed under the name Signoretia aureola. Its description in RNAcentral is "16S ribosomal RNA". The record is from RNAcentral. Lineage: Eukaryota; Metazoa; Arthropoda; Insecta; Hemiptera; Cicadellidae.